CACAGUUCCUGGCCAGACAGCUGCUUCCCAGUGACAAAUCUACUUUAUAUCAAGAGUGAAAUCAUCCAGAAUAGAGUGAAUUCGGGCUUCAGAGCGGCUGUUUAGGAUUCAGAGCUCUACCAACAUGAGCAAUCUGUUGGCAUGACAGGUCAGAGAAGCCGUGAAGGACAUGGAAGGAAGUAGAUGGAACUGGAAACAGGAGGCCAACCCCAGCAGUCAGUGGUGCUCAGAAAAAAAUAAGACACUGAAAUUUGAGGACUUAAUGGAGUUUGGUGCCUUCAGUUAGCUGAUGUCUAUGAAGCCUGACCAGUCUACUUCUAGUCUAUAAGAUCAUGUGGAAGCUUCAGUGACAAACUUCUACUUUACUAAUGAUUUUAUGAUCCUGUUACCCAUUGCAAUUGCUUAAAUGGUAUUUUAAUUAGCUGCUUUAAAUGACUUUGCUUUUUUACAAAAAGCAGUGUGUGCUUUAGUUUAAAAUAUGGGUCACUGGUGUUUCUUUCUAGAAGAUGACUGUGUUUAGUACCAGGGAAAAUUGGUGAUGUAUUUGGAGAGGUUUUAACUUCUGUAACUCAGGUUGAUAUCUGGAAUGUGAGUGUUUCCAUACUUCCGUGGAUGCAGCAAAUUUAUAUAAAGCGUUAUUAAAUUUGUUCUAGUUUUUAA
RNAcentral lists this long non-coding RNA (660 nucleotides) under Homo sapiens (human). Its description in RNAcentral is "non-protein coding LINC02229:10". The record is from RNAcentral. Lineage: Eukaryota; Metazoa; Chordata; Mammalia; Primates; Hominidae.